Molecule: long non-coding RNA, 1343 nt
Organism: Vidua chalybeata
Lineage: Eukaryota; Metazoa; Chordata; Aves; Passeriformes; Viduidae
Exons: 3
Source: RefSeq, a predicted model, not a curated record
CGGACCGAGGGUCAGUGGUGUGAGGAGAUGGACACGGACUGAGGACAAAUGCUGAGGUGCCCCAAGAUCAGUCCAUGCUAUAGUAACAUACUGAAAUGCUCUACUUAUUGAAAUGCUGACAGGAACUUGCUAGGAAAACAUUUGGAAUUAAGACUCUGUGUUUCCCAUUUCUGGUGCCUUGUGAAGAAGCUGAGGCAGCAGCACCACUGAAAGCUGAGAAACUCCCACUCUCCUCACUGCUACAAAGUCCUGUUUUAGCACAGAAACAGAAGGAAUGGAAGGUUUGGUUUCUUUUCCCUCACUCCUACUCAAACCCCAUCUCCCACUAACAUUUCUGAUACACUGUCAGGAUUCCUGAUGUUCCCUAUCAAACUCUGGAAGCCUUUCCCUUUUAAUGACUCAUGAACAGCCUGGAGGUGUUGAGAGAGGAAAAAGAGAAGUGAAAUUUGUGUGUUGGAUGUUCUUGCCUUGCCACACAUCAAAAAGCACCAGCGUGAGUGGUGACAGCCCUGCUCUGAGAGUAAACCUGCAUUUGUGAUUUUAUCAGUGCCCUGUUUGAAAGCACUGAGAGCAUUUGUCACUUUUAUUGGCUUUAAAGUCACACAGGCAGCUUGAGCUGGAGAUGACAGGAAGAUAAAUCUGCUGGCUACAGUCAGUGGCAGCCCUGUGGCAUUUGUCACAUCCUCAGCACCUGUGGCACUCGCACUUUGUCAGAGCCACCUCCUGUCCUCACAAGGCUGUUUGGACAAGGCACUUAAGAAAAACCAGAUUAAAUGCCCAAAUCUUUAUUGUCCACAUCAAAAGAAAUGCACAUGGGCAUGAUUUUCUUCUUCUCCAGGUGCCUGAAAGUGCUGCCAGGAAAUGUUCCUGAGGUAUUCCAACUGGUGCUGGCCUCGGGGCAGCUGGAAAAUGAAAAAAAGCCUCAUCUUUAUGCCAUACCACAGAGCUGAAAGCUUUGCGUGCUCCUAAAGGGCUUGCAGGAAUCCCUCAGUGUCGGACAAAACUGAUUCCUGUUCCCUGAAUUUCAAAGCAGGAGCAAACAGAGCAGCACUGGCAGGAGCUGGGAUGGGAUGAGCUUCUCCUGCUGCACCAGGUCCUGCAGCAGAUCCCUCCUGUGGCAGCUCAGCUCCUCUUGGAUUGCUCCUUAUGAACAUCAGGAGGGAAAAAUCCUUUUUUAAAAACAUCCAACGAGGUCCCAGUGAGUUUGUUUAUUAAAGAAGAAUCACCCCAAGUGGAGUCUGGGGGUGAUUUGGGAGCUGCAGAGCUGUCAGCAAUACUCACCUGCCACGGGCUGCACCAAACAAACAAGUACAGCUGCUUUAAAAGUGCACAACAAGAGUUUA